UGGGGAAUAUUGCACAAUGGACGGAAGUUUGAUGCAGCGACGCCGCGUGGAGGGUGUAGGCCUUCGGGUUGUGAACUCCUUUUUCUCGCGAAAAAGGCACAGUUUUGGCUGUGUUGAUGGUAGUGGGGGAAGAAGCGCCGGCUAACUACGUGCCAGCAGCCGCGGUAAUACGUAGGGCGCGAGCGUUGUCCGGAUUUAUUGGGCGUAAAGAGCUCGUAGGUGGUUCGUCGCGUCUGUAGUGAAAGCCAGCAGCUUAACUGUUGGUCUGCGGUGGGUACGGGCGGGCUUGAGUGCGGUAGGGGUGACUGGAAUUCCUGGUGUAGCGGUGGAAUGCGCAGAUAUCAGGAGGAACACCGAUGGCGAAGGCAGGUCACUGGGCCGUUACUGACACUGAGGAGCGAAAGCGUGGGGAGCGAACAGGA
This 422-nucleotide ribosomal RNA is filed under the name Fusobacteriota bacterium. RNAcentral describes it as "Fusobacteria bacterium partial 16S ribosomal RNA". It matches the Rfam family "Bacterial small subunit ribosomal RNA", at positions 355 to 777 of the family's 1533-position model. Lineage: Bacteria; Fusobacteriati; Fusobacteriota. The record is from RNAcentral.